CCUACGGGUGGCUGCAGUGGGGAAUAUUGCUCAAUGGGGGAAACCCUGAAGCAGCAACGCCGCGUGGAUGAUGAAGGUUUUCGGAUUGUAAACUUCUUUUGUGAGGGAAGAUAAUGACGGUAUCUAAUGAAUAAGCACCGGCUAACUCCGUGCCAGCAGCCUCGGUAAUACGGAGGGUGCAAGCGUUACCCGGAUUUACUGGGCGUAAAGGGCGCGUAGGCGGUAGAACAAGUCAGGAGUGAAAUGCCGGGGCUUAACCCUAGAACUGAAUUUGAAACUGUGCAGCUAGAGUGCAGGAGAGGUAAGUGGAAUUCUUGGUGUAGCGGUGAAAUGCGUAGAGAUUAAGAGGAACACCAGUUGCGAAGGCGGCUUACUGGAAUGUAACUGACGUUGAGGCGCGAAAGCGUGGGGAGCAAACAGGAUUAGAUACCCCAGUAGUC
RNAcentral lists this ribosomal RNA (440 nucleotides) under uncultured bacterium. RNAcentral describes it as "partial 16S ribosomal RNA". It matches the Rfam family "Bacterial small subunit ribosomal RNA", at positions 338 to 795 of the family's 1533-position model. The record is from RNAcentral.